Molecule: ribosomal RNA, 441 nt
Filed under: Klebsiella pneumoniae
Lineage: Bacteria; Pseudomonadati; Pseudomonadota; Gammaproteobacteria; Enterobacterales; Enterobacteriaceae
Description: bacterial SSU rRNA
Rfam family: Bacterial small subunit ribosomal RNA
Source: RNAcentral
ACGGGGGCCCGCACAAGCGGUGGAGCAUGUGGUUUAAUUCGAUGCAACGCGAAGAACCUUACCUGGUCUUGACAUCCACAGAACUUUCCAGAGAUGGAUUGGUGCCUUCGGGAACUGUGAGACAGGUGCUGCAUGGCUGUCGUCAGCUCGUGUUGUGAAAUGUUGGGUUAAGUCCCGCAACGAGCGCAACCCUUAUCCUUUGUUGCCAGCGGUCCGGCCGGGAACUCAAAGGAGACUGCCAGUGAUAAACUGGAGGAAGGUGGGGAUGACGUCAAGUCAUCAUGGCCCUUACGACCAGGGCUACACACGUGCUACAAUGGCAUAUACAAAGAGAAGCGACCUCGCGAGAGCAAGCGGACCUCAUAAAGUAUGUCGUAGUCCGGAUUGGAGUCUGCAACUCGACUCCAUGAAGUCGGAAUCGCUAGUAAUCGUAGAUCAGAA